This 274-nucleotide ribosomal RNA is filed under the name uncultured bacterium. Its description in RNAcentral is "partial 16S ribosomal RNA". It matches the Rfam family "Bacterial small subunit ribosomal RNA", at positions 523 to 796 of the family's 1533-position model. The record is from RNAcentral.
AUACGGAGGGGGUUAGCGUUGUUCGGAAUUACUGGGCGUAAAGCGCACGUAGGCGGAUUGGAAAGUUGGGGGUGAAAUCCCAGGGCUCAACCCUGGAACUGCCUCCAAAACUAACAGUCUAGAGUUCGAGAGAGGUGAGUGGAAUUCCAAGUGUAGAGGUGAAAUUCGUAGAUAUUUGGAGGAACACCAGUGGCGAAGGCGGCUCACUGGCUCGAUACUGACGCUGAGGUGCGAAAGCGUGGGGAGCGAACAGGAUUAGAAACCCUAGUAGUCC